GACGUAGGAGGCGAGCGUUGUCCGGAUUCAUUGGGCGUAAAGAGCACGCAGGCGGUUUGGCAAGUCGGAUGUGAAAACCCGGAGCUCAACUCCGGACCUGCAUCCGAAACUGCCCGACUAGAGGUAGGUAGGGGAGAUCGGAAUUCCUGGUGUAGCGGUGAAAUGCGCAGAUAUCAGGAGGAACACCGGUGGCGAAGGCGGAUCUCUGGGCAUUACCUGACGCUCAGGUGCGAAAGCUAGGGGAGCGAACAGG
RNAcentral lists this ribosomal RNA (253 nucleotides) under uncultured bacterium. Its description in RNAcentral is "partial 16S ribosomal RNA". It matches the Rfam family "Bacterial small subunit ribosomal RNA", at positions 524 to 776 of the family's 1533-position model. The record is from RNAcentral.